AGACCCGAAACCCGGUGAUCUAGCCAUGGGCAGGUUGAAGGUUGGGUAACACUAACUGGAGGACCGAACCGACUAAUGUUGAAAAAUUAGCGGAUGACCUGUGGCUGGGGGUGAAAGGCCAAUCAAACCGGGAGAUAGCUGGUUCUCCCCGAAAGCUAUUUAGGUAGCGCCUCGUGAAUUCAUCUCCGGGGGUAGAGCACUGUUUCGGCUAGGGGGCCAUCCCGGCUUACCAACCCGAUGCAAACUGCGAAUACCGGAGAAUGUUAUCACGGGAGACACACGGCGGGUGCUAACGUCCGUCGUGAAGAGGGAAACAACCCAGACCGCCAGCUAAGGUCCCAAAGUCAUGGUUAAGUGGGAAACGAUGUGGGAAGGCCCAGACAGCCAGGAUGUUGGCUUAGAAGCAGCCAUCAUUUAAAGAAAGCGUAAUAGCUCACUGGUCGAGUCGGCCUGCGCGGAAGAUGUAACGGGGCUAAACCAUGCACCGAAGCUGCGGCAGCGAGCGUAUCACCCAAGACAACUUUACGGAGUUGACGAUUGACGGAGCGAAGCGACGUCAAAGCGUUCAUUAAAGUCGAGUUGGCUUAGGGAUACGUUCGUUGGGUAGGGGAGCGUUCUGUAAGCCUGUGAAGGUGUGUCGUGAGGCAUGCUGGAGGUAUCAGAAGUGCGAAUGCUGACAUAAGUAACGAUAAAGCGGGUGAAAAGCCCGCUCGCCGGAAGACCAAGGGUUCCUGUCCAACGUUAAUCGGGGCAGGGUGAGUCGACCCCUAAGGCGAGGCCGAAAGGCGUAGUCGAUGGGAAACGGGUUAAUAUUCCCGUACUUGGUGUUACUGCGAAGGGGGGACGGAGAAGGCUAUGUUGGCCGGGCGACGGUUGUCCCGGUUUAAGCGUGUAGGUGUGUGUUCCAGGUAAAUCCGGUUCACUUUAACACUGAGGCGUGACGACGAGGCACUACGGUGCUGAAGCAACAAAUGCCCUGCUUCCAGGAAAAGCCUCUAAGCAUCAGGUAACACGAAAUCGUACCCCAAACCGACACAGGUGGUCAGGUAGAGAAUACCAAGGCGCUUGAGAGAACUCGGGUGAAGGAACUAGGCAAAAUGGUGCCGUAACUUCGGGAGAAGGCACGCUGACACGUAGGUGAAGUGAUUUACUCAUGGAGCUGAAGUCAGUCGAAGAUACCAGCUGGCUGCAACUGUUUAUUAAAAACACAGCACUGUGCAAACACGAAAGUGGACGUAUACGGUGUGACGCCUGCCCGGUGCCGGAAGGUUAAUUGAUGGGGUCAGCGUAAGCGAAGCUCCUGAUCGAAGCCCCGGUAAACGGCGGCCGUAACUAUAACGGUCCUAAGGUAGCGAAAUUCCUUGUCGGGUAAGUUCCGACCUGCACGAAUGGCGUAAUGAUGGCCAGGCUGUCUCCACCCGAGACUCAGUGAAAUUGAACUCGCUGUGAAGAUGCAGUGUACCCGCGGCAAGACGGAAAGACCCCGUGAACCUUUACUAUAGCUUGACACUGAACAUUGAGCCUUGAUGUGUAGGAUAGG
This 1540-nucleotide ribosomal RNA is filed under the name Salmonella enterica. RNAcentral describes it as "partial 23S ribosomal RNA". It matches the Rfam family "Bacterial large subunit ribosomal RNA", at positions 711 to 2147 of the family's 2925-position model. Lineage: Bacteria; Pseudomonadati; Pseudomonadota; Gammaproteobacteria; Enterobacterales; Enterobacteriaceae. The record is from RNAcentral.